RNAcentral lists this transfer RNA (82 nucleotides) under Rhododendron simsii. It matches the Rfam family "tRNA". From Rfam's summary of the family: Transfer RNA (tRNA) molecules are approximately 80 nucleotides in length. Their secondary structure includes four short double-helical elements and three loops (D, anti-codon, and T loops). Lineage: Eukaryota; Viridiplantae; Streptophyta; Magnoliopsida; Ericales; Ericaceae. The record is from Rfam by way of RNAcentral.
GUCGCUUUGGCCGAGUGGUUAAGGCGUGUGCCUGCUAAGCACAUGGGGUUUCCCCGGAAGAGUUCGCAUCUGUCAGGCAAUG